CUCACUUUGCAAGCUCAGUCCCAGACAUCUUCUCUCUCCUCUCCCAAGCAGAACACAUUCUGCAGGCAAGAAGCUGUGCCUCAGUCCUUGACACCUACCCUCCCGAGACGGGGUCUUGCUAUGUUGCUCAGGUUGGCCUUGAACUCAAGGGAUCAUCCUGCUUCUGCCUCAAGAGUAGCUGGGAGCGCAGACGAGCACCACCACACUCAGCUCCUUACUCCCUCUUCCUCCUGCUAAAGAUCCCUAGGAAAUGCCAUCUGAAGAGCGAAGAGAUCUGUCGGGGCAUGGUGGCCCACCUGUAAUCCCAGCACUUGGGAGGCUGAGGCAAGAGGAUCCUUGGGGGCUUGAGACCAGCUGGGGCUAAAAAGGGAGAUCAAGGCCAGCCUGAACUGCACAGGGAGACCCUGUCUCGAAAAGAC
This is a long non-coding RNA of Octodon degus (degu), 419 nucleotides long. RefSeq lists it as uncharacterized. The record is from RefSeq and is a predicted model, not a curated record. The transcript is spliced from 2 exons. NCBI's taxonomy places the organism in Eukaryota, Metazoa, Chordata, Mammalia, Rodentia, Octodontidae.